This is a long non-coding RNA of Dromiciops gliroides (monito del monte), 489 nucleotides long. RefSeq lists it as uncharacterized. The transcript has 4 exons. The record is from RefSeq and is a predicted model, not a curated record. NCBI's taxonomy places the organism in Eukaryota, Metazoa, Chordata, Mammalia, Microbiotheria, Microbiotheriidae.
GACGGGAGAAAAAGUUUAACCCCGUCGCGCCAUCUGUGGUCACGCUGCUCACACACCCUUCUGGGCUCGGGUGAAUCAGCCAGAGACGUUCUUGCGCCCCCUUAGCCUGCGGGCGGUUGGAGGCUGCGGCGACUGCGCGCUGAGCAGCUUCCUGCCGUAGGGCUCGAGCCUGGCUGCCGCUGGGACCGCGGGAAUGAUGCUGAGAAAGGUGAUAAAGCUGAUCUCUAAGAGCCAUAAGGACGCUUUCUGCAUGUGGGCACCAGGACAUCACAAAGCAUUGCUGUCAGUCUGGAUGCCCAGGUUCCAGGUUCCAGGGCCAUUUCUCGAACUCAGGAAAGUGACCUGGCCAAGCAUGGGGAGCAGCACCUGUCUCAACACUACAGCAUUCCCCUGGAGGAACUGAAGACUGUUUUCCCACAUGGACUGCCACCUCGUUUUGGAAUGCAGGUGCUUGAGGCAUUGGAUUGGGAUGGGAAGAGAUGGGAUGGA